AUUGAACGCUGGCGGCAUGCCUAAUACAUGCAAGUCGAACGGCAGCACGGGUAGCUUCAUCUGCUGGCGAUAGCCGAGCGGGGGUGAAUAACACGGGGACAAGCUCUGUAUAGGGGGAGAGCACGGCGAAAGCCGGGGUACUACUGCAGACGAUUAUCUUAAGAAACAGGGUGACCUACUGACCGAGGGUUUUGCUGUCACUUGUAGAUGGAUCCGCGCCUGGUUAGCUAGUUGGUAUGGUAAAGGCUUACCAAGGCAACGAUCCGUAGCUGGCCUGAGAGGACGACCAGCCACACUGGAACUGAGACACGGCCCAGACUCCUACGGGAGGCAGCAGUGGGGAAUUUUCGACAAUGGGCGAAAGCCUGAUCCAGCAACGCCGCGUGUGUGAAGAAGGCCUUCGGGUUGUAAAGCACUUUUGUUAGGAAAGAAAACCUUUGCAAUAAUCUAGUCAGGGCAUGACGGUACCGAAAGAGUAAGCCCCGGCUAACUACGUG
Molecule: ribosomal RNA, 497 nt
Filed under: uncultured bacterium
Lineage: Bacteria
Description: partial 16S ribosomal RNA
Rfam family: Bacterial small subunit ribosomal RNA
Source: RNAcentral